UGUGUGUAUCUAGGUCAAUUAUAACACGGCAUUGUUCAGUGGCAGGAUAACAUGCGUGAAGAAUUAACCACGUAAUAUAGUGUAUUAAUAAUUUUAUCAAUGACUUGGGAGAUAACAUUUUGGUUUAAAUAUUUUUAUUUAUUUAAAUCGGAAAACAGAAAGAUAAUAUGAUUUUAACAACAACGCUAUUAUAUUUGUUUUGAAGUGACCUCUGAAUAUACUGUGUGUAUCUAGGUCAAUUAUAACACGGCAUUGUUCAGUGGCAGGAUAACAUGCGUGAAGAUUUAACCACGUGAUAUAGUGUAUUGAUAAUUUUAUCAAUGACUUGGGAGAGAACAUUUUGGUUUAAAUAUUUAUAUAUUUAAAUCGGAAAACAGAAAGAUAAUAUGAUUUUAA
Molecule: long non-coding RNA, 396 nt
Filed under: Mytilus galloprovincialis (Mediterranean mussel)
Lineage: Eukaryota; Metazoa; Mollusca; Bivalvia; Mytilida; Mytilidae
Source: RNAcentral